Aptenodytes forsteri (emperor penguin) is the source of this 692-nucleotide long non-coding RNA. RefSeq lists it as uncharacterized. The record is from RefSeq and is a predicted model, not a curated record. The transcript is spliced from 4 exons. Lineage: Eukaryota; Metazoa; Chordata; Aves; Sphenisciformes; Spheniscidae.
UAGCGUGUGCGUUUGUGGCGUGGCGUGGGUCGGUCUGAAAGCUUGUUGGGUGUCUGUUGCCUUCUCCAGUGGGCCGCUCUGCCUUAGGUUUUCAGGCUCCUUCUUCCGAUCUGGAGAUCGACAGCGUUGCCUUGGAAAGGGAAGCUGAAAUUCACGUACAAACCCUAGGUCCCCAGCUGUUUUGUGAAAAUUGAUGGUCAGAGGAGACUGUCUUGUUCUGGCAAAAGAGUUCAUCCAGUUGACCAGACAGCGUGUGUGUGUGGACUGCCCCACUUAACACACAGGUGUUAUCAGGUCAGCUACGGAGAAAUUUCAUCUGAUUUAUGGUGUCUUUGCAGUCUGCGCGACCAAGGCUUGAAACUUCAAACUAACUUGCUGUUGCGUUAAUUCAGACUUGUGCUGGGUUCCUGGCUGCAUGACUGAGAGCUGAUUUUGCUCUCCAGAGAGCUGGAUUAGUCCUCUGAGAUGCACAUCACCACUUCGACAGUUCUGGGAGGAUUCUUUCUGAAAUCGGGUCGUUCCCUAAUUAUACGUCUGGACCACGCCUAGCACAAUGGAGCUGUGCUCUCAGGUUAGGCACUGCUAUAAUCUGAAUGAACAAUAAAGAAAUACUGCACUGAGCACUUCACUAGGACUCAACCUGUUAUCUCAGGCUUUCACCGAUAACCUUAAUAAAAUAAAAGUCCUUCAAA